GAUGAACGCUGGCGGCGUGCCUAAUACAUGCAAGUCGAGCGAAUGGAUUAAGAGCUUGCUCUUAUGAAGUUCGCGGCGGACGGGUGAGUAACACGUGGGUAACCUGCUCAUAAGACUGGUAUAACUCCGGGAAACCGGGGCUAAUACCGGAUAACAUUUUGAACCGCAUGGUUCGAAACUGAAAGGAGGCUUAGCUUGGCACGUAUGGAUGUACCCGCGUCGCAUUAGCCAGUUGGUGAUGGAACGGCUCACCAAGGCAACGAUGCGUAGCCGACCUGAGAGGGGGAUCGGCCACACUGGGACUGAGACACGGCCCAGACUCCUGCGGGAGGCAGCAGUAGGGAAUCUUCCGCAAUGGACGAAAGUCUGACGGAGCAACGCCGCGUGAGUGAUGAAGGCUUUCGGGUCGUAAAACUCUGUUGUUAGGGAAGAACAAGUGCUAGUUGAAUAAGCUGGCACCUUGACGGUACCUAACCAGAAAGCCACGGCUAACUACGUGCCAGCCGCCGCGGUAA
This 515-nucleotide ribosomal RNA is filed under the name uncultured bacterium. RNAcentral's name for it is "partial 16S ribosomal RNA". It matches the Rfam family "Bacterial small subunit ribosomal RNA", at positions 28 to 523 of the family's 1533-position model. The record is from RNAcentral.